CUAGAAUGAGAUUAUAUUAUAACGCACAAGAUCAGGAGCGGGAAUUGUUCUGAUUUUAGGGUCGUUACAUUCGCCAUUUCAGAGGACCUCGCGAUCUCAUUAUCAGGUAAUUUUCCCUCUUAUAUGUGUGUAUGUGUUUUAACCAUAUCUAUAUCUCUAUAAUUUGUGAGAACUAGUGGGUAGAUAUGAAAUUGCACCUCCAAUGAACUCAAUUUUUUUUAUUAUGCUUCCUCUCUUAAAUUGUUCAUUAUGUCUCUUCUUUUUCCUGUCUAUUUAAAUGUAACAUAUUGUAUGGGUUAUUUUUUUGAGAAGGUAGACUUAGGAUGAUAAAAAAGAAUAAAUGAGUCUUUUUCUAAUGAGCCCGAUUUGCUAAAUGUUGUAUGUAAUGUACGUGCCAUUAAUGUUGGCUGGUUGUUUCAGUACUGGAGUAGUAAUUACAAAAACACCAUACAAUAUUUUGAAUAAUUGUAUGAGAAAAAGGAGGAGGAGGAGCUAUGGGACACUGACUUUGAUUUCCUAAAUGGUAGUAAUUUUGUCCCUGGCACAUUGUCAAAAAGUUUAUCAAUACAUUUAUUAUUUUGUUUUAAACUAGAUGAUAUUGUCUUCUUUGCGUGCGAAGAAUAAUUGACAAUUAGUUGUAAUAUGUACCAUACCUAGAAAUGCCUUUUAAUUUUAUUAAUGUGUACAAUAAUUUCUUAGAAACUUUGUCGUUGAUUAUGAAAUUGUCCCAUACUUUUUUGCAGACCAGGAUACCUUCAAGGACAUCGCAAGGAGCUCUACGCACACCAUUUUAGCUGCAAAUGGGCGUGAGCACAGGGAGAACAAAGUUUACCAUGUGCAACGACCCUUAACCUUUAACCAUAUAGAAAGACUCUCAGGUACGCAAAUGAGUUUUAAGUGAAGGUUGUUGCUCGCCUUGUUUUGUUGCUAGCUGGGCUAUUUGUGGUUGGUUCUGCAGGUGGUUUGGCUGUGUUGGGCAGUUACUGCAGUUCUGCAGAUGGUUUCAAUGUGCUACUGCUGCCUCACUGUGCUGCGUUUGUUUGGGUAGUCCUUAUACAACUGCUGCAGUGUUAUUACUGCGUUUGUUUGUUGUUCUGCUGCUGGUCUAUUUUUUCUGCAGCUGUCUUCUGCUGUUGCUGUUCUCUAGUUUGAUUUGGUUAUGGUCUGGGGUUGGGGGUUUGUUUUUUCUCUGACCUUUUCUUUUGUUCUGGUAUGUGUUUAUGGGCAUGGGUAUGGGUUGCAGCUUUUAUUUUGGAUGGUGCUGCUGCAGGUAUGCUGUUGCUGCAGUUGUGGCUAUUGGCUUGCUGUGUUUUGCUGUUGUUACUUCUGCUAUUAUCUGUUUAUGUUGCUUUUUGGUUUGCUCUUGUUUUCUGGGCUGAGUCUCUCGUGGAUGCUUCUUCUGCAACUGCUGCUGGUCCUCCUGUAAUUUGUUUUGGUUUUGUGUGGUGUUGGCUUGCACCCUAGCUGCUUCUCUUGGUUUUGUGCUGCUGUUCCUUGGUGGCUGAGCUGCUCUCGUUUCUGACACUUCCUGUUUGGCCUAUUGUGGCUGGUUUCAUGAAAUGUUAGAAUGUUAUUGUAAAAAAUGAAAAAAUUCUUAACAAUAUUGUCAUGCGAUGUUGUUUCUCAUGAUGUCGGUAUCUUUUAUAGUCAUGACAUCAUAGGGUAUGUUAUAUUCUAAUUGGGGUUUCUCAUGAUGUUUGUACAGGUUUUAUCUUUUAAUACAGUUUAAAUUUAGCAAAAAAAAGAGAAUUAUUUGACUUACC
RNAcentral lists this long non-coding RNA (1763 nucleotides) under Panax ginseng (ginseng). Its description in RNAcentral is "long non-coding RNA (PGIN_LNC003591)". The record is from RNAcentral. Lineage: Eukaryota; Viridiplantae; Streptophyta; Magnoliopsida; Apiales; Araliaceae.